UGAGGAAUAUUGGGCAAUGGGCGCAAGCCUGACCCAGCCAUGCCGCGUGAAGGAUGAAUGCCCUAUGGGUUGUAAACUUCUUUUUUACGGGAAGAAACUCCUGAACGUGUUCGGGAUUGACGGUACCGUAUGAAUAAGCAUCGGCUAACUCCGUGCCAGCAGCCGCGGUAAUACGGAGGAUGCAAGCGUUAUCCGGAUUUAUUGGGUUUAAAGGGUGCGUAGGCGGGAUAAUAAGUCAGUGGUGAAAGCCUGUAGCUUAACUAUAGAAUUGCCAUUGAUACUGUUGUCCUUGAGUACAGUUGAGGUAGGCGGAAUGUGUAAUGUAGCGGUGAAAUGCUUAGAUAUUACACAGAAUAUCGAUUGCGAAGGCAGCUCACAAAGCCAUUAUUGACGCUGAGGCACGAAAGUGUGGGGAUCAAACA
RNAcentral lists this ribosomal RNA (422 nucleotides) under uncultured prokaryote. RNAcentral's name for it is "bacterial SSU rRNA". It matches the Rfam family "Bacterial small subunit ribosomal RNA", at positions 355 to 774 of the family's 1533-position model. The record is from RNAcentral.